RNAcentral lists this ribosomal RNA (253 nucleotides) under uncultured bacterium. Its description in RNAcentral is "partial 16S ribosomal RNA". It matches the Rfam family "Bacterial small subunit ribosomal RNA", at positions 524 to 776 of the family's 1533-position model. The record is from RNAcentral.
UACGAAGGGGGCUAGCGUUGCUCGGAAUUACUGGGCGUAAAGGGAGCGUAGGCGGACAGUUUAGUCAGAGGUGAAAGCCUAGGGCUCAACCUUGGAAUUGCCUUUGAUACUGACUGUCUUGAGUAUGGGAGAGGUUAGCGGAACUCCGAGUGUAGAGGUGAAAUUCGUAGAUAUUCGGAAGAACACCAGUGGCGAAGGCUGCUAACUGGCCCAUUACUGACGCUCAUGCACGAAAGCGUGGGGAGCAAACAGG